This 444-nucleotide long non-coding RNA is filed under the name Mus musculus (house mouse). RNAcentral's name for it is "RIKEN cDNA 4930567K20 gene (4930567K20Rik)". The record is from RNAcentral. Lineage: Eukaryota; Metazoa; Chordata; Mammalia; Rodentia; Muridae.
GAGGAUCAGCCAGUAACAUGCAGUUAAACUGUAAGAUUCUCUGUCUCUUUAGAAAGGAAACAGACUGCCCCAUUGCUUUCUUAUUGAGAGGGUUCAGAAUAGCACCAGAGAGCUGCAAACCACACUCCCUGGAGUAAAAGCCUUGCAGAUUUUCAGGACACUGCAGCCACCACACUUGGCAAGGACCCAGAGUGUGCAACAGCAACCAAAGAAGAAAAAAAUCCACUCAAUCAAGAUGAGACCAGAUACCUACGUCAAGAAACACUUCAAACAUUUGUCUGGAUCCAACUGCAAAAGCAGGAACAUGAACAACCAAGACAACAGGCCUCCUCUGGAACAUGACUGACAGCUCAGGAAGAAAAUGAUGAUCUAACUGAACAUGGUUAUUACUGAUGGUGACUACAAUACAUUUCAUAACAUUCUAAUAAAACUUAAUAUGAUUAC